GACGAACGCUGGCGGCGUGCUUAACACAUGCAAGUCGAACGGAAAGGCCCCUUUGGGGGUACUCGAGUGGCGAACGGGUGAGUAACACGUGAGUAACCUGCCCUUGACUUCGGGAUAACUUCAGGAAACUGGGGCUAAUACCGGAUAGGAAUCCUUGCUGCAUGGUGGGGGUUGGAAAGCUUCGGCGGUUUUGGCUGGACUGGCGGCUUAUCAGCUUGUUGGUGGGGUAGUGGCUUACCAAGGCUUUGACGGGUAGCCGGCCUGAGAGGGCGACCGGCCACAUUGGGACUGAGAGACGGCCCAGACUCCGACGGGAGGCAGCAGUGGGGAAUAUUGCACAAUCGGCGGAAGCCUGAUGCAGCAACGCCGCGUGCGGGAUGACGGCCUUCGGGUUGUAAACCGCAUUCAGCAGGGGCGAAGCUUGUGGUGACGGUACCUGCAGAAGAAGCACCGGCUAACUACGUG
RNAcentral lists this ribosomal RNA (465 nucleotides) under uncultured bacterium. RNAcentral's name for it is "partial 16S ribosomal RNA". It matches the Rfam family "Bacterial small subunit ribosomal RNA", at positions 28 to 507 of the family's 1533-position model. The record is from RNAcentral.